UACGUAGGGGGCAAGCGUUGUCCGGAAUCAUUGGGCGUAAAGAGCGUGUAGGCGGUCCGAUAAGUCCGCUCUGAAAGCCCGGGGCUCAACCCCGGGAGGCGGGCGGAUACUGUCGGGCUAGAGUCCGGAAGAGGCAAGUGGAAUUCCUGGUGUAGCGGUGAAAUGCGUAGAUAUCAGGAGGAACACCGAUGGCGAAGGCGGCCCUCUGGACGGAUACUGACGCUGAGACGCGAAAGCGUGGGGAGCAAACAGG
RNAcentral lists this ribosomal RNA (253 nucleotides) under uncultured bacterium. RNAcentral describes it as "partial 16S ribosomal RNA". It matches the Rfam family "Bacterial small subunit ribosomal RNA", at positions 524 to 776 of the family's 1533-position model. The record is from RNAcentral.